UCUAUCUAUCUAUAUUUUUACAACUUUUAUCUCUGUCUUCCUGCCCAAAGACAAAUGUCGUUGACCGAAUCCAUAAAGUCUACCCAAACACUCUUAAGGCCACAAUGGACCUACAUUCCUGGCCUUCACUCGAUUUCCGGAUCUCUUCUUGCCCGGGGCUAAGAUACUGAAAUAAGGACUUAUUAAAAUUAACAUACUUGCAAUUCCGGUUCUUGGAAAGAUGGGCUUGUUUCUGAGAUCUUUACCCAAGGAAAACUCCGUCUGUUUUUGCUGAAAUCUUUAGCACUUCGUGUUUGAUGAAGACAUCUGCUUCUGGUUUCAAAUAAUCUCAUUUGGGACACCUAGGGCCAAUGCUACGCCUCAGUCCCCUUCGGUCAACAACACCCACUCGACAACUCUCAAGCCAGUAGCUGUUUGUUUUCCUGCGGUGAAACACGCGGAUAACACAUCUUUUGAGUAAAACAAUGUCAUUGUGUAGCCACUGUCAUCCUUCGAUGGAUGAGGUCAAGACACUCCUCAAAAUCGCUCUCAGGGAUAAAUUUUGUUGGUGGUUGGGAAAGCGGAGUGGGGGAAUGUUUCGCGAUUGGGAAAACAGCUCAUUUUCCCGGUUGGGCGGGGGGGUGGCUUGGACGUGCUCCUAGUGCGACGACGCAGACAAGGCGCCCAUCCGAGCCGUCCGGUCCCUUUGUCCUACACCCCACCCUGGAGGUAUGAGGAUCCGCGCAAUGCGGUUCGGAGGCGGCCGCGGCGCCCCAGAGGUGAAAGCGGAGGCGCCAGGACGCCGGUGCCGGCCUCUCAGGAUGCUAGGCGGCCACACACGAGAUGAGGAAACUGAGGCCCAGAGAGAUCACACAGCUACUAAGUCAAGGAGCUGGGACAGGCGUGGGUGCUGAAAAGUGAUUGAUACUGAUAGUAAAAUUGAGGAAGACAUGAUGUUUUUGUAAUUUGAGAAAAAUCACUGAAGAAUAAACUAUAUGAAGUCAUUGAUGCCAAAUUCCCAGCCCCAGCCUUUGCAGCUGCCCCGCCUGGGGUUCGUCUCUAUGGGAAGGAGUCUUUGCCAUGGACAGAGGCCGUGAUGACGAAGGUCAGGCUUAGAGAUCCAGGAAGUUGAGACAUGGAAAGCAGGAGUGGAGCAAGGAGGGUGGCAAAAAUCAUGACAUUUCACACACUCCGCCCCAGUGGAACCCAUCUUCCUCUGCUGUCUAACUGAAGAACUAGCAAUGCCUUCCAAAGCUAAAGGAAACUCCAGCUCCACGCAACAGAGAUAAAAGAAGCUGAAGGGAGUAGACAAAUAAAAAGCUUUUCCUGAAACAUCAGCCACGUUAACCACAUCCUGCUCUGACAGUAGCCAGCCUGAGAAUGUUUUGGGAAGGGUAGUGUGAACCACGAGGUGAAUUUAAAUCUGUGCAAGGCAGGAACAUAUGGAGCAUCUGAAUCAGUUUACAAACAUUAACUGAGUGCCUAAUAUGUACCAGGCACUUGGUCUACAGUGAUGAUAAAAGUAGACACAACCUUAGCAUGAUUCCUUAACAUGGUUCUUCAAUUCUUUAACAUGCUCACUUCUGGCAGGGGGCAUGUGUGCAUUCACUAGAGGUGAGAGAGUCUAGUCUGGUAGUUUGUUUAGUACUCACUAAUUCUAUACAAAGGGAACAAGAUAAUAGAUAACAUUUAUUGAACUUUUGCUGUGUGCUACACCUAACUU
Heterocephalus glaber (naked mole-rat) is the source of this 1702-nucleotide non-coding RNA. The record is from RefSeq and is a predicted model, not a curated record. NCBI's taxonomy places the organism in Eukaryota, Metazoa, Chordata, Mammalia, Rodentia, Bathyergidae.